UCUUUUCUUUCCCCCUACACAGCGCCUCUGCUUCGUGACCAAAAUGCUUCAGACUCCCAGCCCCAACCAUAUACCCACUCCUUUCGCGAGCCUGGGGGAUCUGUGUCGGACCCGUGGGCAGCUUACGGACCAGUGGGCUGCCCCGUCCGCCCCAAAUUCCAGGGCCGGGUGAACGGUGGGAGCAGCCACCUUUGUAGACACCGCUCCCAGGUUGUAAAUGGGCUGCCAGGGCUUCCUCCCCUCCGCACAUUGCCAGGCUGUCUGGAGAGAGAGCUAGGGAGGAGCCCUCCCGCCGCAGCCUGGACCCCGACAAGAGGCGCAAACGGCAGGUAAGGGAGCCAGACAUCACUGCUGCAAAUCGUGGUCCUGAUCACAGGAAAGGAUGGUGAAGGGGAGGGAGAUGAGCCCGCUGUGGGCUCGGCUCGGACUCACACAGGUCAAAGCACACCACAAAACACAUGCACCGAGUGCACAUCUCGGAAACAUCUCCUGCACGAGCGCCCGCUUGGACUUAGGAUCAUCUCGGAAUCAGACGCCAACGCAGCAGCACAGCCUCUGUGAGCUACAGAGAUGCUGACAGGGAAGCUACAGAGAAGCAAACCGGACCGCUGGCCUAACGCUGGAGUUGGCAGAGGGCACAGCCGGGCGGCUCCGGUUCCGCCGGGUGUUUACUCUCCCAGAUCCAGGCCCGCCCUCCCAUUCUGUUCUGUUGUGCUGGGCUGGGCUCUGCAAACUCCGUUUCCUGUAUCCCCUGCUGGCUGGCUGGGCUCCGAGAAGAAGCAAUGAAUGGGACCUGAAAAAUUCUUUGUGAAGUCAAAGCCAUUCUCUAGUGGCAUCUGCUUAAUUGAAAGCAAGUGAAGAAAUCUGAGCGAUGGCUGAUUCUCCACUAGAUGGCAGUCAUUGGGUAACUCCGAGUGGGGCUCUGGGACACCAGCAGCCAGCAAUGAGAUCACAAGUAGGCAGAGAGGCAGGCAGAGAGAGA
Long non-coding RNA from Mustela erminea (ermine), 982 nucleotides. RefSeq lists it as uncharacterized. The record is from RefSeq and is a predicted model, not a curated record. The transcript has 3 exons. NCBI's taxonomy places the organism in Eukaryota, Metazoa, Chordata, Mammalia, Carnivora, Mustelidae.